RNAcentral lists this ribosomal RNA (425 nucleotides) under uncultured bacterium. RNAcentral's name for it is "partial 16S ribosomal RNA". It matches the Rfam family "Bacterial small subunit ribosomal RNA", at positions 354 to 796 of the family's 1533-position model. The record is from RNAcentral.
GUGGGGAAUAUUGGGCAAUGGGCGAAAGCCUGACCCAGCAACGCCGCGUGAAGGAAGAAUGUCUUCGGAUCGUAAACUUCUAUCCUUGGUGAAGAUAAUGACGGUAGCCGAGAAGGAAGCCCCGGCUAACUACGUGCCAGCAGCCGCGGUAAUACGUAGGGGGCAAGCGUUGUCCGGAACGAUUGGGCGUAAAGGGCGCGUAGGCGGCCUGGUAAGUCUGGAGUGAAAGUCCUGCUUUUAAGGUGGGAAUUGCUUUGGAGACGGUCGAGAUUGAGUGCAUGAGAGGUAAGUGGAAUUCCCGGGGUAGCGGUGAAAUGCGUAGAGAUCGGGAGGAACACCAGUGGCGAAGGCGACUUACUGGACUGUAACUGACGCUGAGGCGCGAAAGUGUGGGGAGCAAACAGGAUUAGAUACCCCAGUAGUCC